Molecule: ribosomal RNA, 253 nt
Filed under: uncultured bacterium
Lineage: Bacteria
Description: partial 16S ribosomal RNA
Rfam family: Bacterial small subunit ribosomal RNA
Source: RNAcentral
UACGUAGGGUGCGAGCGUUAAUCGGAAUUACUGGGCGUAAAGCGUGCGCAGGCGGUUUUGUAAGCCAGUCGUGAAAUCCCCGGGCUUAACCUGGGAAUGGCGAUUGGGACUGCAAGGCUGGAGUAUGGCAGAGGGGACUGGAAUUCCUGGUGUAGCAGUGAAAUGCGUAGAUAUCAGGAGGAAUACCGAUGGCGAAGGCAGGUCCCUGGGCUGAUACUGACGCUCAUGCACGAAAGCGUGGGGAGCAAACAGG